UACGAAGGGGGCUAGCGUUGUUCGGAAUUACUGGGCGUAAAGCGCACGUAGUCGGGUUGUUAAGUCAGGGGUGAAAUCCUGGAGCUCAACUCCAGAACUGCCUUUGAUACUGGCAACCUAGAGACUGGAAGAGGUUAGUGGAAUUCCCAGUGUAGAGGUGAAAUUCGUAGAUAUUGGGAAGAACACCAGUGGCGAAGGCGGCUAACUGGUCCAGCACUGACGCUGAGGUGCGAAAGCGUGGGGAGCAAACAGG
Molecule: ribosomal RNA, 253 nt
Filed under: uncultured bacterium
Lineage: Bacteria
Description: partial 16S ribosomal RNA
Rfam family: Bacterial small subunit ribosomal RNA
Source: RNAcentral